UCUUGGUCAUUUAGAGGAAGUAAAAGUCGUAACAAGGUUUCCGUAGGUGAACCUGCGGAAGGAUCAUUAUCGAUUCUGAAGGAUGUGCUGGCUUAACUGCAUGUGCACUCCGAAAUCUUCAUCCACCUGUGCACUCUAUGUAGGCUGAAAGGGAGCAAUCUCUUUCUGUCUAUGCUUUUAUAUACCCCUUUUAAAAAUCUUAUGAAUGUAAACUUGGCUUGCUUAACACACAAGUCGAAAUUUAAAACAACUUUCAACAAUGGAUCUCUUGGUUCUCGCAUCGAUGAAGAACGCAGCGAAUUGCGAUAUGUAAUGUGAAUUGCAGAAUUCAGUGAAUCAUCGAAUCUUUGAACGCACCUUGCACCCUCUGGUAUUCCGGAGGGUAUGCCUGUUUGAGUGUCAUUAAUCUCUCAACACAACGAGUUUAUUCUUGCUUGUGCUUGGAUGUUGAAGGCUGCCGGCGUCAUUGCCAGCUCCUUUUGAAUGUAUUAGCAGGACUAUGUAGGACCAGCUUCGGUUUGAUAAUACUUUUAUCUAUGCUGUCGCUGAGAAUCGUUUUGUUCAGCUUCUAACUGUCCCUUCUGUGGGACUGUCUCCUUGCUGAGGCAUAACCUUGACUCUUGACCUCAAAUCAGGUAGGACUACCCGCUGAACUUAAGCAUAUCAAUAAG
RNAcentral lists this ribosomal RNA (671 nucleotides) under Clavaria crosslandii. RNAcentral's name for it is "eukaryotic LSU rRNA". The stretch from base 249 to 402 matches the Rfam family "5.8S ribosomal RNA". Lineage: Eukaryota; Fungi; Basidiomycota; Agaricomycetes; Agaricales; Clavariaceae. The record is from RNAcentral.